This 423-nucleotide ribosomal RNA is filed under the name uncultured Lachnospiraceae bacterium. RNAcentral describes it as "bacterial SSU rRNA". It matches the Rfam family "Bacterial small subunit ribosomal RNA", at positions 355 to 794 of the family's 1533-position model. Lineage: Bacteria; Bacillati; Bacillota; Clostridia; Lachnospirales; Lachnospiraceae. The record is from RNAcentral.
UGGGGAAUAUUGCACAAUGGGGGGAAACCCUGAUGCAGCGACGCCGCGUGAGCGAAGAAGUAUUUCGGUAUGUAAAGCUCUAUCAGCAGGGAAGAUAGUGACGGUACCUGACUAAGAAGCUCCGGCUAAAUACGUGCCAGCAGCCGCGGUAAUACGUAUGGAGCAAGCGUUAUCCGGAUUUACUGGGUGUAAAGGGAGUGUAGGUGGCCAUACAAGUCAGAAGUGAAAGCCCGGGGCUCAACCCCGGGACUGCUUUUGAAACUGUAAGGCUUGAGUGCAGGAGGGGUGAGUGGAAUUCCUAGUGUAGCGGUGAAAUGCGUAGAUAUUAGGAGGAACACCAGUGGCGAAGGCGGCUCACUGGACUGUAACUGACACUGAGGCUCGAAAGCGUGGGGAGCAAACAGGAUUAGAUACCCUGGUAGU